GAUGAACGCUGGCGGCGUGCCUAAUACAUGCAAGUCGAGCGAACAGAUAAGGAGCUUGCUCCUUUGACGUUAGCGGCGGACGGGUGAGUAACACGUGGGUAACCUACCUAUAAGACUGGAAUAACUCCGGGAAACCGGGGCUAAUGCCGGAUAACAUUUAGAACCGCAUGGUUCUAAAGUGAAAGAUGGUUUUGCUAUCACCUAUAGAUGGACCCGCGCCGUAUUAGCUAGUUGGUAAGGUAAUGGCUUACCAAGGCAACGAUACGUAGCCGACCUGAGAGGGUGAUCGGCCACACUGGAACUGAGACACGGUCCAGACGCCUACGGGAGGCAGCAGUAGGGAAUCUUCCGCAAUGGGCGAAAGCCUGACGGAGCAACGCCGCGUGAGUGAUGAAGGGUUUCGGCUCGUAAAACUCUGUUAUUAGGGAAGAACAAACGUGUAAGUAACUGUGCACGUCUUGACGGUACCUAAUCAGAAAGCCACGGCUAACUACGUGCCAGCAGCCGCAGUAA
This 513-nucleotide ribosomal RNA is filed under the name uncultured bacterium. RNAcentral's name for it is "partial 16S ribosomal RNA". It matches the Rfam family "Bacterial small subunit ribosomal RNA", at positions 28 to 523 of the family's 1533-position model. The record is from RNAcentral.